Molecule: long non-coding RNA, 636 nt
Filed under: Anser brachyrhynchus (Pink-footed goose)
Lineage: Eukaryota; Metazoa; Chordata; Aves; Anseriformes; Anatidae
Description: lncRNA (ENSABRG00000012389.1)
Source: RNAcentral
GAGGCUGCAGCAUUUAAUCAACACAGCCAUGGACUGGGAGAUCUGGAUUACAUUCCUGUCUCUGCAGUGGACACUGGAAACGUACUCCCCUGUGCUCUACGUGUCUCCACCUGCAAGGAAAAACAAUGGAGUGGAGGUUGUCUUCUGGUCAGAUUUUGACAGGAAUGCAUGGCUUGACAUGCACUGGAGAAACAGUCUAUAAACAAACAUGUCAGAGAGGAAACACAGCAUCUGCAACUCUGUGUCACAGGACAAGAUGGUGAUCACUUUGCAUCUGUACAAGAUGGAUCCUCCCCUCUACCCCAAGAUUCAGUAGCUACAAAAAAUGUAGAGAUAACUAUGAAAUUCUUAACAGAAAUUCAUUUUCUACAGUACAAAUACUAACUAGAGUUUCAUAACUGAAGCUACUUACAGCCUUUUGAAGAUAGGCAGGGGAAUACCUUUAUAAUAAUGUCCUCAAUUUCACUAAUCCCAUCAUAAAGCAUCAGUUAAGCCUGCACUAAACAAUCACAGUAAACCUCUAAAUCCUGGGAAGCUUGCCCACUUCUGAAUACAAGAGAGCUUAAUGAAGUCUUAGUUCAUGACAAGCCCUAAAAGACAAUGUAAAAUAAAUAAAAUUCCCUCUAAUUAAUUUCA